This 253-nucleotide ribosomal RNA is filed under the name uncultured bacterium. Its description in RNAcentral is "partial 16S ribosomal RNA". It matches the Rfam family "Bacterial small subunit ribosomal RNA", at positions 524 to 776 of the family's 1533-position model. The record is from RNAcentral.
UACGGAGGGGGUUAGCGGUGUUCGGAAUCACUGGGCGUAAAGCGCACGUAGGCGGAAUGUUAAGUCAGAGGUGAAACCCCGGGGCUCAACCCCGGAACUGCCUUUGAUACUGGCAUUCUUGAGGGCGGGAGAGGUGAGUGGAAUUCCGAGUGUAGAGGUGAAAUUCGUAGAUAUUCGGAGGAACACCAGUGGCGAAGGCGGCUCUCUGGACGGUUACUGACGCUGAGGCGCGAAAGCGUGGGGAGCAAACAGG